This is a long non-coding RNA of Triticum aestivum (bread wheat), 4475 nucleotides long. RefSeq lists it as uncharacterized. The transcript is spliced from 6 exons. The record is from RefSeq and is a predicted model, not a curated record. Lineage: Eukaryota; Viridiplantae; Streptophyta; Magnoliopsida; Poales; Poaceae.
GGAACCCUCCCGCUCCUGCCCGCUCUCGCCUCUGUCCCCCCGUCCCGUGUCUCCUCUCCUCCCCUCCCGCCGACCACCUACCUACCGCCGGAUCUCCCCGUCGAGCUCGCUCCUCGCCGUCGCUCUUACAGGCGCCACGCGCUCCCGUUCUCCUUCCCCAGCCCGGCGACGGUGGAGGCGCGCGGCCAUCCCUCCCCGGGCGGUGGUGGAGGAAGGGCGGGGCCUCCACGGUUGUCGGCGACCUCCUCCCCGACCAUCGACCCCUUUGUUAGGGCGCGGGGGUGGUUGUCGAUGGUGUCUCUCUCACCCGUUCUUCUCCUUGCACGUCCUCUCCACGUCGUUGGGCAGCGCCGCUGCUGGCUCUCUCCUCGGGGCUGGGCUGGGGCGUCCUAGGGAGGGAUUGGGCUGCGAUGGAUUUCCUCUCCACAUCGUUGGACAGCGCCGCCGCUGGCUCUCUCCUCAGGGCUGGGCAGGGGCGUCCUAGGGAGGGAUUGGGCUGCGAUGGAUUUCGUGCGGCACGAGGCUGGCUGAGGUCUAUUGCUGCUGUCGUUUCUUUCUCCACGAAGAUUCCGAUGAUUUGUGCUCCGGCUCUGCUUCCAGUGAGUGCGCUGAUUCCUACUAGCGGUCCCUCCUCUUCUCCAUGAGCAAGCACUCCGGCCAUAGCCUCGUCUCUUCUCCUCUCCGGUCGCCGUGGAGCGUUGGAGCCCUUGAAGCAUUCGAAUGGAACAUGUAUUGGCAUGCUCGGUUCAUCUUAGGUGAGUGUGAAUGUUGAAGUGUGAUUUCGUAGCAUUAGGCUUGCAGUUUAAGAGAUCUUCCAAUCAAUUUUUUUUGGAUUUUGGGGAUGUGUGCAGUGGAAAACUAUAGAUAAAUAAGAAUUCUUUGUUCUUCUUUCAUGUUGGAGAGAGUGACAGUACCUACAUUCCUGUUAGUGGGCUGUAUAUAUUCUAUAACUUCUUGCUGUUUUCUUUGUUACGGUAAUUUUUUUGACAUUUGUAACAGCAAAAUGAUAUGUCAAGAUGCUCUGUUUUUAUGGCACUUUUAGAGAUUUCUCCUCAUAUUAUAGAUGGUGUGCGAUAUACUUCUUGACAUAUCCCUAGGCAUCUUGACAUAUCCCUGGACAGGUUCUCAUGUUCAGCGCAUCCAGUUUGGUUGAUUAUUUUGGGAGGCUUAUUUUGGAAAGGCUUUGAGAGGCCGUCUGAAUCACCACCUUGUGUUAAUAGAAUUAUACAUAGUUUUGUACAGCCAUUUCAUUUUGCAUAGGGCUACAAAGUACAAUCAAACAAUCUGCAGCUUAGCAGUACUGUAUUUCCUGGAUUCUCCAAUUUGGGGUUUGAGCAUUGAGGCGUUGAAUAUGUCUAUAUGAACUGUAGUUAUAUAUUACCUGCUACUCGAGCUGGCUCUCUCUCUCUCCGACGUCUUGGUUUGCAGGCCGCUGCGUGGUGAGGUACUGACUAAGGAGCGCGAAUCGCCAGCACCACGUACCAGAUGAUGCCGUCAAGGUCGGCGUCAUAGUGACUGUCGAUGACUUGCAGUUGAUGCAUUGAUCAACACCGGUCUGGCGAAACUGAGCUAUAAAUAUGUUAAGAUCAAUGAUUGGUGGGCAGAAUUAAAGAGGGAUUACACAAGUAAGGAGAUACACCUGAGCAAGCAGCUAGACCCAUGGUACUAAUGUAAAUCGCUCAACCAUUUUGAUAUUUAGUCUCUCAAGAGUUAUUUUCUUAGUAUAUUAUUCUUCAAGAUCCACAUUCAUUUUACUCAGUCAUGCCCAAAUGCCUUUUCUAUAAAUCAUUCUAAAAGAUCCAGUUGUGACUUACUACCCCCCUCUGCCCAUAUUUUUAUCUAUGGAUGCUGCUCUCUCUCUCUCUCUCUCUCUCUCUGUGUGUGUGUGUGUGUUAUGGCCAUGUUUAGUGCUUCCGUUUAGUCCAAAGGGAGUAGCUCAAUUGUGUCCUGCAUAAAUUAGAUCUUUCCGAAAACAUUUUAACCAGGAUCCAACUUUCUAUACAUUGAUAACUAGAGCAUAAGUGCACUCGCUCAAUUCUGAAAUUGUUCAUAGUAUACAUAGUAAUCAUGACUAGAUCGUAGAAGUUAGAGAUGUACAAAUGAUUGAUUGGAAAUAUAUAUUUGUAUUUGCAACAACACACUGGAUCACGUCAGGUAAAUAUUUUUGUAGAAUAUAAGUCAGGUUUAGAACUUUUGACGACGACAGCUGAAAAACCAAAGUAAAUCCAUGAUAUAUAGUCAGUAUAAUAUAUAUUUAGAUAUUCACGGCACUGCAUAAGCAUAGUUCAGUUCCCCUGGGAGCACUAGCUGCUGGCUUUUACAUGUAUUUCUUGAUUCUAAUAAGAUGCAGCUAAUCUUAGAAAAUAUAGUAAGCACCUAUCAUGAAAUUUAAAACUGGCGUGAUGUGGCUCUCCGUUGAUAACUAUGAUGCUUGCAUAGCUGGUUGAUUUAUUUGAUUAUUAUCAAACUAAACCAUCAUAAUAUUAAGAUUGUGAUUAUUCAGAUGAAAAAUGAUCAAAGAAAUACAUGUACCAAAGUUACAUCUGUUAAGAUAAUGAUUAGGCAUACAAUUGCUUCUUCAAAUUAUUGCAAUAUUGUAGUUCUCUGUAGUCUAAUAAAUUAUGUACUGUGGUCCUCCGCCUCACCGCUUAACGGGAUGGAUCGGGCAACGUACGCCAAGGCGAGACCUGCCUCUCCUCUUAAGUUGAUUGGUUUCUCUUUCUGCAUUCCUUUUCUAUGGCCUCAUUUGGCAUUUCUCCUUCAUGAUUAUUAUGUUGUCCCUUUUGGGUUGUCAGAUGCUUUACCUCGGCAGCAUGAUGAGAUUCCUUGCUUUCUCCAUGUGAAUUUUCCAAAAAGCUUAUCUAUUUGAGGAACCAUUUUUUUUCUCAUUGAUGUUGCAUCGACCAAUGCUUAUAAUACCUAAUAGAACUAAAAGUCGGUUACCCGGUCAACACACCUUAUAAAAAAAUAUGAAUGGGCAAGAUGUGGCCAUCUAGAGUAGAAUUUGGUUCAUUGAUUAAUGUAGAAAGACACGGGUCAAAGUGAUCCUUUUCCAAGGUAAUCACCACUGUUUUGUUUUAGGCUUAUGUGCCUGAUGUUUUUUAGGAUCUCUGUCAAUAAGGGGAUAUAUCAAGGUAGUGUGUUGUGUUCUAAUUAUAAAUGAAGAGAAAGUUAAGAACUUCAUAGUUACAAUGUAAUCAUGGCUAGAGCGUAGAGGUUAGAGAUGUACAAAUGAUUGAUUAAAAAUAUAUAUUUGUAUUUGUAACAACACACUGGAUCACGUCAGGUAAAUAUUUUCGUAGAAUAUAAGUAAGAUUUAGAACUUUGACCAUGACAGCUGAAAAACCAAAGUAAAUCCAUCAUAUAUAUUCAAUGUUCAUGGCACUGCACAAGCAUAAUUCAGUUCCCUUGGGAGCACUAGCUGCUGGCGUAUAGAUGUAUUUCUUGAUUCUAACAAGAUGCAUGGCAAUCUUAGAAAAUAUAGUAAGCACCUAUCAUGAAAUUUAGAACUGGUGUGAUGUGGCUCUAUUGAUAACUAUCAUGCUUGCAUAACUGGUUGAUUUCUUUGAUUAUAAUCAAACUGAACCAUCAUAAUUCAAGAUCGUGAUUAUUCAAAUGAUAUGAUCAAAGAAAUACAUGUACCAAAGUCACAUCUGUUGAGAUCAUGAUCAAGCAUUAUUGGGAUAUUGUAGUGCUCUUUAGUCUAAUAAAUUAUGUAUUGUGGUGCUCCACCUCCUUUUCUCUUCUUGCCAGGACAUAUACUCUGCAUGGGAAGUUGCCUACUUGGUAUGAGCUUCAGACGCAUCGGCAUCGCUACACCUUUCUAUGUUCUUUUGUUAAUAGUCUGCCCAUAAUUAUAACAGCGAAAUGCAUGAAUGUAUAUAGCUUUGCACCAAGCCACUUUACUUUAUCUAUGAUCUGUCAUUUUUGUGAGUCGCAGAUGAUUUUGGCAUUGAUAUUCUCAUGCAAGCCAUCCUAUCUUUGCAAGCCUACAGAUAGAAUACACUCAGGGCACCACAUGUUUAAGUUGUCACUCCUAUGUUUAUAAGUUUAUAGGAAGCAAACAUUUUCAUUAUCUUUGGCACUUAUAUUUUCAUUAUAUUAACUUGUGCAGCGGAGUUUUAAAAUCAAAACGGGGCAAUUCUCUACUGUGACAAAGUGAAGAGAAAACUGAUGCAUCAAAUUAAUACAGAAAUUCAGUUCAUAUGAAGCAGAAGAAAGGCAUGCAGUACCUUACAUUGACAAUGAUUGUUAGCCCAUUGUGGUACUUCAAAUCUGAUAAAGAAUAUAUUUUAUGACCGAGACAUGGCAUUUGGAGAAUCUCAGUUCUAAUAUCUACAUGAAUCAACUUUUAUUUUGUCACGCUACUGAAUGUUCUGGUAUGGGACUAUCUAUUCUGUGUAGCUCUUAUAAGUAAUAAUGAAAUGAUCUAUAUGUAAAGUUUUCUUAUUUUAAUUAUAUUAUGUUGUUGAUGA